UAGAACAUUGGAAGUAGAGACGGUUGGCAUCUCCCCUGAUAGGGACAGGAACGGCCUUCGGGCUUUCUUGUUACCGAAUACACGCGGUUAAGGCUACCCACUUCUUUGAGGUGGAUCUGACCCAAUUUUGC
This 131-nucleotide non-coding RNA is filed under the name Amborella trichopoda. The record is from RNAcentral. Lineage: Eukaryota; Viridiplantae; Streptophyta; Magnoliopsida; Amborellales; Amborellaceae.